Molecule: long non-coding RNA, 300 nt
Filed under: Vicia faba (fava bean)
Lineage: Eukaryota; Viridiplantae; Streptophyta; Magnoliopsida; Fabales; Fabaceae
Source: RNAcentral
AUGAUUAAGAAAAAAAGGCCACCUUACAUGUUUACCGGCCAUGAUCUCUGGGAAGCUGUCCGUGAUUUUCCAAAAGUCACAGAUAGUGGUUGGGCCACCAAAUUUCCAGGGUAUGGAAAACAACAUAAUUGGAUUAAAAGAAGUAUAUUUUGGGAUCUUCCAUACUGGAAGGAAAACUUGUUAAGGAACAACCUUGAUGUGAUGCACAUAGAGAAUAAUGUAUUUGAUAAUGUGUUUAACACAGUCAUGAAUGAUCCUGCAAAAACAAAGGAUAAUGAGAAGGCAAUAUUGGAUUUCUAG